AUUGAACGCUGGCGGCAGGCCUAACACAUGCAAGUCGAACGGUAACAGGAAGAAGCUUGCUUCUUUGCUGACGAGUGGCGGACGGGUGAGUAAUGUCUGGGAAACUGUCUGUUGGAGGGGGAUAACUACUGGAAACGGUAGCUAAUACCGCAUAACGUCCCAAGACCAAAGAGGGGGACCUUCUCGCCCCUUGCCAUCGUAUGUGCCCAGAUGGGAUUAGCUAGUAGGUGGGGUAACGGCUCACCUAGGCGACGAUCCCUAGCUGGACUGAGAGGAUGACCAGCCACACUGGAACUGAGACACGGUCCAGACUCCUACGGGAGGCAGCAGUGGGGAAUAUUGCACAAAGGGCGCAAGCCUGAUGCAGCCAUGCCGCGUGUAUGAAGAAGGCCUUCGGGUUGUAAAGUACUUUCGGCGGGGAGGAAAGGAGUAAAGUUAAUACCUUUGCUCAUUGACGUUACCCGCAGAAGAAGCACCGGCUAACUCCGUG
This 490-nucleotide ribosomal RNA is filed under the name uncultured bacterium. RNAcentral describes it as "partial 16S ribosomal RNA". It matches the Rfam family "Bacterial small subunit ribosomal RNA", at positions 30 to 507 of the family's 1533-position model. The record is from RNAcentral.